This 409-nucleotide ribosomal RNA is filed under the name uncultured bacterium. RNAcentral describes it as "bacterial SSU rRNA". It matches the Rfam family "Bacterial small subunit ribosomal RNA", at positions 505 to 916 of the family's 1533-position model. The record is from RNAcentral.
GUGCCAGCAGCCGCGGUAAUACGGAGGAUCCAAGCGUUAUCCGGAUUUAUUGGGUUUAAAGGGUGCGUAGGCGGACUUAUAAGUCAGCGGUGAAAGUUUGCAGCUCAACUGUAAAAUUGCCGUUGAAACUGUUAGUCUUGAGUGUAAAUGAGGUAGGCGGAAUGUGUUGUGUAGCGGUGAAAUGCUUAGAUAUAACACAGAACACCAAUUGCGAAGGCAGCUUACUGGGAUACAACUGACGCUGAGGCACGAAAGCGUGGGGAUCAAACAGGAUUAGAUACCCUGGUAGUCCACGCAGUAAACGAUGAAUACUAGCUGUAUGCGAUAUACUGUAUGUGGCAAAGCGAAAGCGUUAAGUAUUCCACCUGGGGAGUACGUUCGCAAGAAUGAAACUCAAAUGAAUUGGCGG